CGUAGGGUGCGAGCGUUAAUCGGAAUUACUGGGCGUAAAGCGUGCGCAGGCGGUUUAGUAAGACAGGCGUGAAAUCCCCGGGCUCAACCUGGGAACUGCGCUUGUGACUGCUAAGCUAGAGUACGGCAGAGGGGGGUGGAAUUCCAUGUGUAGCAGUGAAAUGCGUAGAGAUGUGGAGGAACACCAAUGGCGAAGGCAGCCCCCUGGGUCGAUACUGACGCUCAUGCACGAAAGCGUGGGUAGCAAACAGGAUUAGAUACCCUGGUAGUCCACGCCCUAAACGAUGUCAACUAGGUGUUGGGAGGGUAAAACCUUUUAGUACCGGAGCUAACGCGUGAAGUUGACCGCCUGGGGAGUACGGCCGCAAGGUUA
Molecule: ribosomal RNA, 372 nt
Filed under: uncultured organism
Description: bacterial SSU rRNA
Rfam family: Bacterial small subunit ribosomal RNA
Source: RNAcentral